This is a long non-coding RNA of Thunnus maccoyii (southern bluefin tuna), 350 nucleotides long. RefSeq lists it as uncharacterized. Lineage: Eukaryota; Metazoa; Chordata; Actinopteri; Scombriformes; Scombridae. The record is from RefSeq and is a predicted model, not a curated record. The transcript is spliced from 3 exons.
AAAUUAAACAUAUUAUAUAUGUAUCAAUAGAUUAGACUCUUGUCUUUUCAGUCAGCGUGGUCAUUUUCAAAAAGCCAUGUUGUAAAUACACAGCAGAGUAUACAACUGAAACCUUAACAAUCUGCUCUCUAUUUGAAGCAUUUUCAGAAGGUCUGUUCUUCUUCCUCACCUGAUUGACCAGGACUUCACCAAUGCUGCAGAUGAGGAAGCUGUUAUUGUUCUGUCCCUCAGCUGACGAAGCUCUCUUUUGCUCAAGCAGCAGGAGUUUUCAGGAACUUCUUAUCCACUGUACCACUCCAAGAAUCAGCUUCCAAAUCUUUGAUGUCACACUCAAACUCGCCCAUCAGCUG